CUAAAAACCUAGCCCAACAAACAUGAAUUUUACUUAAUUAACUUAAACCCCCUUAACAAACCAUUUUAACAUUCUAGUAAAGGAGAUUGAAAAACUUAUUUGGAGCUAUAAAAACAGUACCGCAAGGGAACGGUGAAAUAUUAUGAAAAACUUCAAGCAGCAAAAAGUAAAGAUUACCUCUUGUACCUUUCGCAUCAUGGUUUAACUAGUCUAACCAAGCAAAACGUAUUUAAGUUUGACUUCCCGAAACUAAGUGAGCUACUUCAGGGCAGCUAGAAGAGCAAACCCGUCUCUGUAGCAAAAGAGUGGGACGACCCUCAAGUAGUGGUGACAGACCUAACGAACUUAGUGAUAGCUGGUUGCUCAAGAAACGGAUUUAAGUCCAACCUGAAAGUUUUAUAACCUAAGUUCAUCAAAACAAUCACCUAACUUUCAGCGUAAUUCAAAUAAGGUACAGCCUAUUUGAAACAGGAUACAACCUAGCCUAAUGGAUAAGAUCAGCCUAACAUACAAUCAAGUGGGCCUAAAAGCAGCCACCUUUAAUACAGCGUCAAAGCUAAAUUGUAACCGAGCCCAAUUACUUAACCCAUAUCUUAAUCCCCUGCUAAUACUGAGUAAUUCUAUAAUAUUAUAGAAAUUUUUAUGUUAAAACUAGUAACAAGAAGAAGAUUCUUCUCUUAAAUGUACAUAUAAAUCAGAAAAGACAAGCUACUGAUACUUAACACCUCUGAGCAUAAAGUAGUAACUAACCAAGAAAACUCUACUUUUACUGGUGUUAAUCUAACACAAGAACAUUCUAAGAAAGAU
This 807-nucleotide ribosomal RNA is filed under the name Bufo verrucosissimus (Caucasian toad). Its description in RNAcentral is "partial 16S ribosomal RNA". The stretch from base 165 to 807 matches the Rfam family "Bacterial large subunit ribosomal RNA", at positions 568 to 1680 of the family's 2925-position model. The record is from RNAcentral. Lineage: Eukaryota; Metazoa; Chordata; Amphibia; Anura; Bufonidae.